This 337-nucleotide unclassified non-coding RNA is filed under the name soil metagenome. RNAcentral's name for it is "partial contains 5.8S ribosomal RNA, internal transcribed spacer 2, and large subunit ribosomal RNA". The stretch from base 1 to 120 matches the Rfam family "5.8S ribosomal RNA", at positions 35 to 154 of the family's 154-position model. The record is from RNAcentral.
GAUGAAGAACGUAGCGAAAUGCGAUAAGUAGUGUGAAUUGCAGAAUUCAGUGAAUCAUCGAAUCUUUGAACGCACAUUGCGCCCCUUGGUAUUCCAUGGGGCAUGCCUGUUCGAGCGUCAUUUGUACCCUCAAGCUUUGCUUGGUGUUGGGUGUUUGUCCCGCGUUGCGCGUGGACUCGCCUUAAAGCGAUUGGCAGCCGGCAUAUUGGCCUUGGAGCGCAGCACAUUUUGCGCUUCUAGUCAUGAAUGUUGGCGUCCAUUAAGCCUAUACAUUUGCUCUUGACCUCGGAUCAGGUAGGGAUACCCGCUGAACUUAAGCAUAUCAAUAAGCGGAGGA